Molecule: long non-coding RNA, 331 nt
Filed under: Lathyrus oleraceus (garden pea)
Lineage: Eukaryota; Viridiplantae; Streptophyta; Magnoliopsida; Fabales; Fabaceae
Description: Pisum sativum (pea) long non-coding RNA (PSAT_LNC019066)
Source: RNAcentral
CGCCAUUAAACAACAAUAACUGCCAUAGAUGAAAUCGCAGUAUGAAAAUGACUCUUCUUGCUAAGAGCAAAUUACGAUUCAUCAAUGUAAAAAUUCCCUGUUUACUUGAAUCUAAUUCUCUCUAUGAUACUUGAAAACGGUGUAACUGUCUUGUUAUCUCCUGGAUAAUUUGAUCCCUAACACCGUCAAUUGCUUAAAUGUAACGAGAAAUCUAAGUCUAUUAGAUCCAAUAAUGGGCCUAAAUUUCUUUUCCAAGAUUUUAACUAUACUUAAAGUAACGAGAAAUCUUCUUUGUAUGCCAAACUUCCAAAAUAUAUUUUGGUCCUAUGUA